AGUGAACGCUGGCGGUAGGCCUAACACAUGCAAGUCGAACGGCAGCACAGGAGAGCUUGCUCUCUGGGUGGCGAGUGGCGGACGGGUGAGGAAUACAUCGGAAUCUACUCUGUCGUGGGGGAUAACGUAGGGAAACUUACGCUAAUACCGCAUACGACCUACGGGUGAAAGCAGGGGACCUUCGGGCCUUGCGCGAUUGAAUGAGCCGAUGUCGGAUUAGCUAGUUGGCGGGGUAAAGGCCCACCAAGGCGACGAUCCGUAGCUGGUCUGAGAGGUGGAGCAGCCACACUGGAACUGAGACACGGUCCAGACUCCUACGGGAGGCAGCAGUGGGGAAGAUUGGACAAUGGGCGCAAGCCUGAUCCAGCCAUACCGCGUGGGUGAAGAAGGCCUUCGGGUUGUAAGGCCCUUUUGUUGGGAAAGAAAUCCAGCCGGCUAAUACCCGGUUGGGAUGACGGUACCCAAAGAAUAAGCACCGGCUAACUUCGUGCCAGCAGCCGCCGUAA
Molecule: ribosomal RNA, 506 nt
Filed under: uncultured bacterium
Lineage: Bacteria
Description: partial 16S ribosomal RNA
Rfam family: Bacterial small subunit ribosomal RNA
Source: RNAcentral